UCGAGCGGAUCUCGAGGGGCUUGCCCCUUGAGAUUAGUGGCGGACGGGUGAGUAACACGUGGGCAACCUGCCUGUAAGACUGGGAUAACACCGGGAAACCGGUGCUAAUACCGGAUAAUUCCUUCCCUCACAUGAGGGAAAGCUGAAAGACGGCGCAAGCUGUCACUUACAGAUGGGCCCGCGGCGCAUUAGCUAGUUGGUGAGGUAACGGCUCACCAAGGCGACGAUGCGUAGCCGACCUGAGAGGGUGAUCGGCCACACUGGGACUGAGACACGGCCCAGACUCCUACGGGAGGCAGCAGUGGG
Molecule: small RNA, 306 nt
Filed under: uncultured bacterium
Lineage: Bacteria
Description: bacterial SSU rRNA
Rfam family: Bacterial small subunit ribosomal RNA
Source: RNAcentral